UACGUAGGGUGCGAGCGUUAAUCGGAAUUACUGGGCGUAAAGCGUGCGCAGGCGGUAAUGCAAGGCAGAUGUGAAAUCCCCGGGCUCAACCUGGGAACUGCAUUUGUGACUGCAUUGCUGGAGUGCGGCAGAGGGGGAUGGAAUUCCGCGUGUAGCAGUGAAAUGCGUAGAUAUGCGGAGGAACACCGAUGGCGAAGGCAGCACUCUGGGCAGUUUCUGACACUGAGGCACGAAGGCUAGGGGAGCAAA
RNAcentral lists this ribosomal RNA (249 nucleotides) under uncultured bacterium. Its description in RNAcentral is "partial 16S ribosomal RNA". It matches the Rfam family "Bacterial small subunit ribosomal RNA", at positions 524 to 772 of the family's 1533-position model. The record is from RNAcentral.